UCCCCAGCCAGGGAUUGAAUCUGAACCACAGCUGUGACUUAGGCUGCAGCUGUGGCAACACUGGAUCCUUUAACUCCCUGGACCAUCUAGGGAUUGAACCUGCAUCUUGCAGCCACCUGGGUGGCUGCAGUAGGAUUCUUAACCCACUGUGCUCUGGCAGGAACUCUGGGGUCUUCAGAUUUUGACACGACAGUACAGCAAUAUAGCUUCAUGCUUAGGAUCACUUUGUAAAGAGAAGAUUCUUGGGAGCUGGCCCUCUGCCCAACAGGCCUACCUCCUGGGUUGUUUUCAUAAGAAGAUAAAUCUCAGGUCUUGCCCUAACGUGCUGUAAGAUGAUUUUGACGUCAUCCCUCUCUGCUCUAUUCUUUGUGCUCUUUGGCUACCUAAGUGCAAUUUCCCAGUCUGUAACACCCCAUAGCUGACAGUGACAUCAUAACCUCAUCUUGACAUCAGAGCUCUCUCUAGUACAGCCCUUGCUUACCUCUCCACCCCUUUCUGCACAGUGGUGGGUCAUGGACACAAAUGGGCUCCUUUCUACUGUUAUAUGUCCACGGGAGCCCCUCCCUCCCAAUUUAGCCCUAUCUCCCACUUGCCCAGACAAUUGCUAUCCACUUGGUCCUCAGCCCUGCAGGCAAUUCUCCCUAAUUUAUUUCCCAAAGCUGGGCCCUGAGACCCUUGUGUGAACUUGCAGGUGCCUAUCUAAGAAUCCUGGUUCUACUUUCUCUUACCCUAUAGCCCCCAGAGAGUCCCAAAGUGAAGGGCAAAAUCUGACUUAUUUUAAUCAUUUUCUCUAGCAUUUAGUAUGUUUAAAUAUUUUCUUAUUUGUGAUCAAAUUUAAGCUAUUUUUUAAAAAAAAAUAUUACAGUUGAUUUACAAUGUUGUGCCAAUUUCUGCCAUACAACAAAGUGACCCAGUCAUAUAUAUAUAUUCCCUUUCUUAUAUUAUCUUCAAUUAUGGUCUAUCCCAAGAGACUGGAUAUAAUUCCCUGUGCUGUAAAGUAGGUCCUCAUCCUCAUUGUUAAGCUAGGGGUUUUUGUUUGCUUGUUUGUUUUUGGCAAUAUAUUUUGCCUUUGUUAUGUGUGAAGUCGCUAAAGAAAGAUUCAAAAGCUGUUCAUUGAUCAGAGGUCUUAAAGACAAAGCAGGAAAGUAUGAAAUAUGCCCACUGUGGCCAGUUGUAAAUUCCAGCAGGAAAGUCAGAGCAAUCUUUUAGGAACUGUCACUUCAUAUCCUAAUCACCACUUUUACAUAGGGCCAAGUGUGAUGAUACCUCUGCAGGGAUUAGAAAGUGUUAUGUGAUGCAAACACAUCUCCUACAGACUUCUGCGCCAGGUGAGCAGCUGAGCUGACCAAGGAGAUCCAGCAAACUGUUCGGGGAUCCAUAAAUCAGAUUCUGGAAGCCAGCUUUUCCAGUUCAGAGGCAUUAGUAAAGAAGAGAGAGAUGCUCUAUUUUUGAAUCAAUUGCAUUCCCAGGCCUGGCUCAUAGUCAGAUUAAGAAGGUAGCUAAGAUUUGUGCUGUAAUUUAUUGCUGCAUAUCAUAACCUUGGCAUUGUCUUCCAGCCUGGAGAGUAGUUUUUUUCCACAGACUGCAGGUUGCAGUCUGCUGCAGGGAUGCUGGCCCUUUCCUUAGACGUGGACUAGAGAGUUACCUCCGCCCCAAUCUUGUUAGCAAUGAUGUGGAAGGAAGAGGCACUUUAAUUCCCAAUGACUUCAUUUUUGGCACUGUUUGCUUAAUUACAGAACCUGUCGCUAUUGCCUAGUGGAGGUGUGUUUUCACCUUAUUUGUCUCAACCAUUAGAAUAAAGACAGGGCAUGUGACUUAUUCAUUAUUACAUUUCUUUUCUUUAGCAUAGGUUAGGUGUCUAAGAAAUGGCAACUCCAUGAAUGAAUGAAUGAAAGUAGGUCAACCUCAAUGAUUUUUCAGGGAUUUAACAUGUACCAAUUAUAGCUAAAUGGCUAGUUUAUGGGUUAAAUAAAGUAUAAAGUGCUUUGCCAUUGCUAUCUUCAAAACAGCAGGAGGGGAGUUCCCAUUGUGGCUCAAUGGGUUAAAAACUGACAUAGUCUCAAUGAGGAUACAGUUCAAUCCCUGGCCUUGGUUAAGGAUUUGGCAUUGCCACAAGAUGCAGCAGAGGUCACAGAUGCAGCUCAGAUCCCGUGUUGCUAUGGCUGUGGUGUAGGUCAUGGCAGCUGCAGCUCUAAUUUGACCCCAGACCUAGGAAAUUCCAUAUACUGCCAGUGCUGCUGUAAUAAGAACAACAAACAAACCAAAAAAAUCCCAAAACAAUCAGCAGGAGGGAAGAAGCAUUGUUAUCCCAUUCCACAGAUGAAGGUGAACUAAGGGUGCACAUAGCAGCACACAGUGGAGUGGUGCUUUGUGUCCCAGCCACAGCUGACUGUGUGCUCAUUUUCUUCCUCAAAGCCAUGCUCAUCACCAGAGAAAAUAGUCUGCUUGUAGUACACACAUGCACAGUGCAUUUUCCUAAGGCACAUCACAGUGUGUUGUGAUUAAUUAGUCUUACUGUGUGAUGAGAUCUUUAGAGACAGACCCUUUAAUUCAGUUCUUAGAUAGUCCAUGGUUAGCUCCAAUUAGGUAGGAUGAGUAAUUUGGAGGGGUUCCUGGAGUUCCAGAGGGAAGGGAUCGUAAGAACUGAAACUGUCAUCAGAACAGGACAUAGAAGGAUGGGGCAAGGGAGGAGCAGAGAUGGGCAGGGGCCUGGCUGUCUGGAAUAGUCCCCAGGAUCAUGAAAUGAUCAAGAAUUUUUUUUUGUUUGAAAUUUGUAAAGCAGUAGGAGGCAUACUGUCUUGAGUAGAAUUCUGCAGCAAAAAUGAUUUUUGUGGGAAAAUGGAAAUAGCCAAUUACGAGGCACAUGUCCUUAUACUAGAGGCAUUACUCUUGUACAGUAUGGAUAUUUUGUUUGUUCAACAUGGAUGUAGAAUGUAAUUUCUAUUUGCAAAGUCCUGUGAAGAGGGAAAAGUUAUUAAUACCAUUGUUCCCGAAUUUAUAAGACAUUCCACAAGCAUUAUUUUCAGAUGUCACUCAAUCUUUUUUGAUUACUAUUAUCACCAUUUUAAAGCAAAAGACAAGGUUGAGUAUUUUGCCAAGGUAUCACAGAAAGGGGCAAAUAGAGUACAUUUAUUUUUAUUUUAUUUUUUGGGGGCUGAACCCGUGACAUGUGGAUGUUCCCAGGCUAGUGGUUGAAUUGGAGUAGUAGCUGCUGGCCUACACCACAGCCAUAGCAAUGAGGGAUCUGAACCAUGUCUAUGACCUACUCCACAGCUCACAGCAACACUGCAUCUUUAACCCACUGAGCAAGGCCAGUGAUCGAACCCGCAUCCUCAUGAAUACUAGUCAGAUUCAUUUCUACUGAGCAAUGAGGGAACUCUAGCCAUGAUGGGAACUCCUCCAUUUAAACUGAAGUCUUUCCAAAACUCUAGCUCUUAAUUGUCUGCAAUUUAUGAAAAAAGAAAAUAUCUUUAAUGGACUUGCAUUCUGACUGAAGGGAUAAAAGUGAAUACAUAUGACAUGAUAGUACAAUGACAAUAAAUGAUGGUCUAAGAGAACUGCUAGAAUUAGUCAGUGAUGAGUUUGAGACUUACCAUGGGAUAGAGAGCUAUAGGGAAGGCUGGCAGGGGGUGAAGAGAAAGCCUGAAUGUCUGUGUAUUGAGCCUAAGGGGUAUCUUCUAGCCUUCAGAAACCACACAGGGCCAAAGCAGAAGCAGCUAUCCAGAGCCUAUUCCCUAUCUGAUGUAGGCCAGGCCAGUACAGAGCUGCCUGGGUGUGUGUGGGGGUGGUGGUGUCCUGGGACCUGGGAUGUGCCUUGGGCUAGGUUCCAUGGACCUGAAUUUGGGACCAAUGGAAAUAGCAGCUAGAUGCCAGAGAGGCUCAUGGGAAAAACAACAGUGGUAAAGUCUUUCUUUCAAUGUGUUGAAUAUAGAGGAGAAGCCAAAGAAUAGAGCCCAAAUGGGAAGUAAAAAGACUUUGGCUGAGGAGGGAAAUGAAGAGAAUAAAGGCAGAUGGAAGGAGGUUUGGAAAAAUUCUGGAGAUUAUGUUGAGAAUAUUCAUAGAUUUUGCACAAAAGCAAUGAGUAAGCUUAGUGGGGAAGGUCUUUUAAAUAGUUUUGACCAUUUUGGGCUUGGCAGAGUAGGCAGGCAUAAGUUUCUUUAAUAUGAAAAACAGUAGGAAGCUCUUAGCAGUUUUAGAAGAGCCUCUGUCCCAAGGUCCUCAGAGACCCCAGUGAUAGUGGGUAGGUCCAGAUAGCAGAUAGAUGAGCACCUCGUGGAAGUAUGCUGCAGUUUUAGUCUGUGCCACCUCACCAAGCAUGACACCUGGGGAGCAUGGCCUCUGCAUUUAAACAAUUCCUCUGAAAAAGGCUGCAUUCCAAAUCUUUUUUGUGUUCUUCUCUUAAAACAACACUUAAAAAUUUUUUUAGGAGUUCCUGUCGUGGUGCAGUAGAAAUGAAUCUGACUAGGAAACAUGAGGUUGCGGGUUCGAUCCCUGGCCUCACUAAGUGGGUUAAGGAUCCUGCAUUGCUAUGAGCUGUGGUGUAGGUUGCAGAUGUGGUUUGGAUCUGGCAUUGCUGUGGCUGUGGUAUAGGCUGGCAACUAUAGCUCUGAUUGGACCCUAGCCUGGGAACCUCCAUGUGCUGUGGGUGCAGCCCUAAAAAGGACAAAAGACAAAAUAAAUAAAUAAAUAAAUAAACUAUUACACUGUAUAAGAGGCAAAUCAGCACAGAGUUGCUUCUAAGAUAAUAUUUUAAAGUAAAUAAACCUGAAGUCCUCCAAGGUCAAGAUGAUAACCUGAGUGAGAAUGUUUAAGCAUUUUACCAAUUUCCCACUAAAAUAACUCAACUAAUGUAAAAGGCAAAAUUCGAUAUCAUAGAGAGUAGCCAUAAAAAAUUGCACACUGACCUA
Molecule: long non-coding RNA, 4907 nt
Filed under: Sus scrofa (pig)
Lineage: Eukaryota; Metazoa; Chordata; Mammalia; Artiodactyla; Suidae
Description: lncRNA (ENSSSCG00000053553.1)
Source: RNAcentral